This is an RNA transcript of Triticum dicoccoides, 2233 nucleotides long. RefSeq lists it as uncharacterized. The record is from RefSeq and is a predicted model, not a curated record. The transcript has 3 exons. NCBI's taxonomy places the organism in Eukaryota, Viridiplantae, Streptophyta, Magnoliopsida, Poales, Poaceae.
GACACAUCCCCACGAACAAUUCCAGCCACCACCCACAAUUCCCCACCACCCCGAUCUGGCACGCCUCCACCCACCUCCAUCGGCCACCAGCGUGCCGCCUACCCCAAGCCACCGGCGCCACGCCUCCACCCACCGCCGCUGGCCGCAGUGCCCCGCAGGCCCCACUGCCGCCUGCCGUCGGCGGGGCCUCCUCCAAUCCCCACGCGGCGCGUCCUCCCGAGCUACUUGAUGCGCCGUCGUGGUCCGCCUCAACCUCCCACCGGCCUCCUCCCGCGAAUCUGCCGCCGGCCUCUCAAUCGCGCGUGCCUGCCGCAUCCACCGAAUCGAGCGUCGUCGCCCGCCCCGACCAUGCAUGCCGCCCCCUCAAGGACCGGAUUACAGGCCCAUGUCUCCGGCAAAGCCGUCAUUCAGGGGUCCGACGCCGACGGCAGGGGUCAGAUGCCUUGGUCUCGUGACCUCCGGUCGCCGUAUCCCUCCUGCAUGCGUCCCUCACCUACGCAUCUCCAUCUCACCAUGGAUAGCUUCCUCGUCAGGCUUGAACUUCUUCUCCAGCCUCCGCCCUGCUACUCUAGCUGUCCUCGUUGAAGUCCCCCGAUUGCCGUGUGCUUCUCCCCUGCCUCUUGUCACCUCCGGCUCCCCAACCUCCUGCCUCAGGAAAAAAAAUGGUCACAUUAUUUUACUCGGCACUGAUGUGCAUGUUGCCUCCGUCAUUGCAUCCUCCAGCUCAAUCCCAUCGUUGCAGUCCAACGACUCCAGAUGCAACCGUUCGCCACUAUUUUGCGAGGUAAGAUGGAUCUCAACAUCUGGCUCCCGGUAGGCCACUGCCUUGUGACAAGGCCACUGGCCUUGCAUCCUCCCGCACGAUGUGCGCCACCACCAGGACCCGACCUGCAAAGCACGAUGCUGGCUGUUCACAGCCGUCGGGCCACCACUCCCUGGAUCGGGGCUGCUGUGCUCGCGAAAUGUGUGUGUGCUAAUUGACGCUGAUUGAAGCUCAUCUCCUCCCUCGUGUAUGCAUCAACAAAAACUGUGUGGGUUCGCUGUAGUCCAAGUUGUGCCACAGCAGUAGGGUAACUCUUCCAGGACGCAUCUCAUCUCAACUAGCUCCAAUUUUGCGCGCAUGGGGUGGUGCUGCUCCAGCAAGCUCCUUCGUCCCCGGCCCGUCCCUGAAUGCGGAUGCAGCACCGCAGGUUCAAGUUCACCAUGCAUCCCUGACGUAGCACUGCUCCGGCUCCUCCCCCGCUUGUUGCCAGGUCUGUCUCUCCUUCCUCCCCUGCUCGCUAUCUUUUGCGGAGGUGGACACGUCUACCUGAUGGAGUGAAGUCGGCCUCCCAGCACCGGCAGUUGUAAAAAAUAAAUAACAACAACAAGUUCAGAAUCAGAAAAAUGAGAAGUUCAAGAAGAACAAAGGUGUUGCCUUCACUCAAGUUCUUGCAAAUUGCUAGGCUGUAGCUCGUAUAUUGUUUGCAACUAUCUUCAGUUUCUUUAGUAGCUCGUACAUAUUUUGCUGAAAGCUAGUACUUUCAUAAUCGUAAAGUUGAUAGUUGGCCUAUAGGGAUAACCAUGUUGAUCGUGAUUGAAAAAGGAUUAUGAAAUAAUAUUAUUGAGACUGAAGGCCAAGUUUGAUGCACGAUGUCAGAGGAUUCAAAGUCUUUUUAUGAGGCGGUCGAUGUCUUUCAAGAGAUGCGUUCAUAUCUCACAAGUUUCCAAAGGUUCAAGUUCAUCUAUAUAAGAAGGAAUGCCAAUUUUGUUGCACAUGUGUGUGAAAAGAGGCACUAAAACUUAAUGUAGUUGCUGUUUCUUUUCUUGUAACGACUACCUACCUGAUGGAGACUAUUCAAUCAUAGUUAUUUUUGCCUGCCAUGCCCUGAUACCUCCUCCAUAUAGGUGCCACCAUCACAACCCAACCUCCAUUUGCUGGUCGCUGCUAGCUGUUGUUGCUGUGGCCUGCCUUGCCCUCUAGCUAAUAUUGGUGCGCUACUGUUGAAGUUCAACUAGAAUGCUAGAGGGAUUUCUGCGAGAGUUUAGCUAAUAUAGUCCCUGGUUUUGUGUUUGAACUUGCUAUUGUCAAUGGUUAAAGAUUAUGAUGUUGCUUUUCUACGGAUGGUCUUCCUGUAGAUAUAUCAUUUUCCAUCCUCUUGGAAGGUACAACAUUCUGAAUGAUCAGAACAAAAACAAUAUAAUGUUAGUGUGCUGCUACUUAUGUAUGUUUGUACUAAGUUUGCUAAUGUGU